This 878-nucleotide ribosomal RNA is filed under the name uncultured Acinetobacter sp. RNAcentral's name for it is "bacterial SSU rRNA". It matches the Rfam family "Bacterial small subunit ribosomal RNA", at positions 45 to 916 of the family's 1533-position model. The record is from RNAcentral. Lineage: Bacteria; Pseudomonadati; Pseudomonadota; Gammaproteobacteria; Moraxellales; Moraxellaceae.
GGCUUAACACAUGCAAGUCGAGCGGAGAUGAGGUGCUUGCACCUUAUCUUAGCGGCAGGACGGGUGAGUAAUGCUUAGGAAUCUGCCUAUUAGUGGGGGACAACAUUCCGAAAGGAAUGCUAAUACCGCAUACGUCCUACGGGAGAAAGCAGGGGAUCUUCGGACCUUGCGCUAAUAGAUGAGCCUAAGUCGGAUUAGCUAGUUGGUGGGGUAAAGGCCUACCAAGGCGACGAUCUGUAGCGGGUCUGAGAGGAUGAUCCGCCACACUGGGACUGAGACACGGCCCAGACUCCUACGGGAGGCAGCAGUGGGGAAUAUUGGACAAUGGGGGGAACCCUGAUCCAGCCAUGCCGCGUGUGUGAAGAAGGCCUUAUGGUUGUAAAGCACUUUAAGCGAGGAGGAGGCUACUGAGACUAAUACUCUUGGAUAGUGGACGUUACUCGCAGAAUAAGCACCGGCUAACUCUGUGCCAGCAGCCGCGGUAAUACAGAGGGUGCGAGCGUUAAUCGGAUUUACUGGGCGUAAAGCGUGCGUAGGCGGCUUUUUAAGUCGGAUGUGAAAUCCCCGAGCUUAACUUGGGAAUUGCAUUCGAUACUGGGAAGCUAGAGUAUGGGAGAGGAUGGUAGAAUUCCAGGUGUAGCGGUGAAAUGCGUAGAGAUCUGGAGGAAUACCGAUGGCGAAGGCAGCCAUCUGGCCUAAUACUGACGCUGAGGUACGAAAGCAUGGGGAGCAAACAGGAUUAGAUACCCUGGUAGUCCAUGCCGUAAACGAUGUCUACUAGCCGUUGGGGCCUUUGAGGCUUUAGUGGCGCAGCUAACGCGAUAAGUAGACCGCCUGGGGAGUACGGUCGCAAGACUAAAACUCAAAUGAAUUGACGG